CCUACGGGAGGCAGCAGUGAGGAAUAUUGGUCAAUGGGCGAGAGCCUGAACCAGCCAAGUCGCGUGAGGGAGUACUGCCCUAUGGGUUGUAAACCUCUUUUGUCGGGGAGCAAAAGCCGGACGUGUCCGGCUGUGAGAGUACCCGAAGAAAAAGCAUCGGCUAACUCCGUGCCAGCAGCCGCGGUAAUACGGAGGAUGCGAGCGUUAUCCGGAUUUAUGGGGUUAAAAGGGUGCGCAGGCGGAUUUUUAAGUCAGCGGUCAAAUCGUGGGGCUCAACCCCAUCCAGCCGUUGAAACUGGGGAUCUAGAGUGUGCUAGAGGUAUGCGGAAUGCGUGGUGUAGCGGUGAAAUGCAUAGAUAUCACGCAGAACCCCGAUUGCGAAGGCAGCAUACCGGUGCACAACUGACGCUCAGGCACGAAAGCGUGGGUAUCGAACAGGAUUAGAUACCCCUGUAGUC
Molecule: ribosomal RNA, 458 nt
Filed under: uncultured bacterium
Lineage: Bacteria
Description: partial 16S ribosomal RNA
Rfam family: Bacterial small subunit ribosomal RNA
Source: RNAcentral